This 84-nucleotide microRNA precursor is filed under the name Bombyx mori (domestic silkworm). RNAcentral describes it as "mir-2807 microRNA precursor family". It matches the Rfam family "mir-2807 microRNA precursor family". Lineage: Eukaryota; Metazoa; Arthropoda; Insecta; Lepidoptera; Bombycidae. The record is from Rfam by way of RNAcentral.
UUAACUCAAAUUUGUACGGAGUUGGAACGUUUGCUUAUGUUUGCCGCUAGAAGCGCUGUUCCAACUGCAUACAAAUUUGAGUUA